UAAGAUCAAAUGUAGAAUCAACCAUAAGAGUAAGAGCCUCUUGAGAAUAUUCAAGUUUGGUCAUUCAUAUUAGGUCUAUCAAAAUAUUAAGUUCCAGUAACUUGGUAGCUUUAGAUGAAAAUACAAUUUUGGGCUCCUUAGAUCAUAAGAAACAAAAUCAUAUGAAAUUUCCAGAAAAGAAACAUGUAGAACCCAACAACCAAUAUGUGAAAAAAAGCCACUUAAAUCUUUAGUUUCUUUCAAGAUUUUCAGUUGAUUUUACUUCGGAGUUUAAUCAAAGAGCUUCAAGUUCAAGCACCAGUCGCUCUAUGACAUCACUGAUCUUUAAGAACAUUAUCUGAUACUCUUUGAGGGUUAUUAAAUCCUCCCUCUCCCAAAUUAUCACCUCAUUAGUCACUAGAUCAGUAUAUUUUUGUAUCUGCAGAUUCACUCCCUUAAGGUGUUGUAUCUGCCGUUCCAGGAAAUCCUCAACACGCUGGAAGAUGCAACAAACUUUUGUUCAUAACUAAUAAUAACUAUUAAGCCAUAAAGGAUGAACAGAAUAUACUCAUAUCUAGCACAUGCAAUAAUAAGAAAUUUAGCAAUGUGAGAAUACCUCAUUAGAAGAAGGCUGAAGGAAUUGAAAAAAAAGCGAAGAUGAGAACGGAGCUAGAUGGUCGAAGGAGUCGUCAAUCCU
RNAcentral lists this long non-coding RNA (676 nucleotides) under Trifolium pratense (red clover). RNAcentral describes it as "long non-coding RNA (TPRA_LNC009757)". The record is from RNAcentral. Lineage: Eukaryota; Viridiplantae; Streptophyta; Magnoliopsida; Fabales; Fabaceae.